CGGCGAGGUAGCCGAUGAAAUCAGUGAUGGGCGGCUCCGGCGGUGCGGAGAGGUCGGCGCCGGACCUGCGAAUCCCAGGGGCGGGGCCGAUGCCGGCGGCGGGGCGGGGCCCAGGUGGAGCCCCUGGACCGAACCUCGCCACACCCGCCUGACAGUGGAUGCCGCUCUCCCUGGCCCGUCCUGUCUUCUGUCUCUCCCAGCUCUCCGCUGAGCCUCCGCGCUCUCACCCCCUGUCUGUCUGUGAUAUGUAACGACAGCUCAGGUAGAUUCUUUACCAUCUGAGCCACCACAGAAGCUCUCAGCUGUGACGUAAAUCCACCAGAUGCAAAGAAGCCAACUAUACCUGCCUUGGCAUCACUUCAUGGAAUUUGUGAGUACAAUGGGUUGAAUCAUGUGCCUGCAAAAGACAUAUUCAAGUCCUAACCCCCAGUACCUGUGAAUGUGACCUUAUUUGGAAAUAGGAUCUUGUGAGAUCACAUCAGAUCAGUCACUCAGUCGUGUCCGACUCUUUGCGACCCCAUGAAUCGCAGCAUGCCAGGUCUCCCUGUACAUCACCAACUCCUGGAGUUCACUCAGACUCACGUCCAUCGAGUCAGUGAUACCAUCC
Bos taurus (domestic cattle) is the source of this 607-nucleotide long non-coding RNA. Lineage: Eukaryota; Metazoa; Chordata; Mammalia; Artiodactyla; Bovidae. The record is from Ensembl.